AGGGUUUGAUUAUGGCUCAGAACGUACGCUGGCGGCACGCCUAACACAUGCAAGUCGAACGAAGUAGCAAUACUUAGUGGCAGACGGGUGAGUAACAUGUAGGUAUCUACCCUUUGGCCUGGAAUAACACGAGGAAACUUGUGCUAAUACCGGAUAAGUCUUUACGGAGAAAGCUUUAUGCACCAUUGGAUGAGCCUGCACUUGAUUAGUUUGUUGGUGGGGUAAUGGCCUACCAAGACUGUGAUCAAUAGCUGAUUUGAGAGGAUGAUCAGCCACAUUGGGACUGAGACACGGCCCAAACUCCUACGGGAGGCAGCAGUGGGGAAUCUUGCACAAUGGAGGAAACUCUGAUGCAGCGAUGCCGCGUGAGUGAAGAAGGCCUUUGGGUUGUAAAGCUCUUUCGUCGGGGAAGAAAAUGACUGUACCCGAAUAAGAAGGUCCGGCUAACUUCGUGCCAGCAGCCGCGGUAAUACGAAGGGACCUAGCGUAGUUCGGAAUUACUGGGCUUAAAGAGUUCGUAGGUGGUUGAAAAAGUUAGUGGUGAAAUCCCAGAGCUUAACUCUGGAACUGCCAUUAAAACUUUUCAGCUAGAGUAUGAUAGAGGAAAGCAGAAUUUCUAGUGUAGAGGUGAAAUUCGUAGAUAUUAGAAAGAAUACCAAUUGCGAAGGCAGCUUUCUGGAUCAUUACUGACACUGAGGAACGAAAGCAUGGGUAGCGAAGAGGAUUAGAUACCCUCGUAGUCCAUGCCGUAAACGAUGUGUGUUAGACGUUGGAAAUUUAUUUUCAGUGUCGCAGCGAAAGCGAUAAACACACCGCCUGGGGAGUACGACCGCAAGGUUAAAACUCAAAUGAAUUGACGGGGACCCGCACAAGUAGUGGAGCAUGUGGUUUAAUUCGAAGAUACGCGCAGAACCUUACCAACACUUGACAUGUUCGUCGUGACUCUAAGAGAUUAGAGUUUUCGGUUCGGCCGGACGAAACACAGGUGCUGCAUGGCUGUCGUCAGCUCGUGUCGUGAGAUGUUGGGUUAAGUCCCGCAACGAGCGCAACCCUCACUUUUAGUUGCCAUCAUUUAGUUGGGCACUCUGAAAGAACUGCCAGUGAUAAGCUGGAGGAAGGUGGGGAUGACGUCAAGUCCUCAUGGCCCUUACGUGUUGGGCUACACACGUGCUACAAUGGUAUCUACAACAGGAAGCAAGACUGCGAGGUCAAGCAAAUCCUUAAAAGAUACCUCAGUUCGGAUUGCACUCUGCAACUCGAGUGCAUGAAGCUGGAAUUACUAGUAAUCGUGGAUCAGCGUGCCACGGUGAAUGCGUUCCCGGGUCUUGUACACACCGCCCGUCACACCAUGGGAGUUGGUUCUACCUUAAGGCAAGGUUUAAAACCCUUGACCACGGUAUAGUCAGCGACUGGGGUGAAGUCGUAACAAGGUAGCCA
Molecule: ribosomal RNA, 1437 nt
Filed under: uncultured marine microorganism
Description: bacterial SSU rRNA
Rfam family: Bacterial small subunit ribosomal RNA
Source: RNAcentral